RNAcentral lists this ribosomal RNA (493 nucleotides) under Bacillus sp. EX241. Its description in RNAcentral is "bacterial SSU rRNA". It matches the Rfam family "Bacterial small subunit ribosomal RNA", at positions 8 to 485 of the family's 1533-position model. The record is from RNAcentral. Lineage: Bacteria; Bacillati; Bacillota; Bacilli; Caryophanales; Bacillaceae.
AGAGUUUGAUCCUGGCUCAGGACGAACGCUGGCGGCGUGCCUAAUACAUGCAAGUCGAGCGGACAGAAGGGAGCUUGCUCCCKGAUGUUAGCGGCGGACGGGUGAGUAACACGUGGGUAACCUGCCUGUAAGACUGGGAUAACUCCGGGAAACCGGAGCUAAUACCGGAUAGUUCCUUGAACCGCAUGGUUCAAGGAUGAAAGACGGUUUCGGCUGUCACUUACAGAUGGACCCGCGGCGCAUUAGCUAGUUGGUGGGGUAAUGGCUCACCAAGGCGACGAUGCGUAGCCGACCUGAGAGGGUGAUCGGCCACACUGGGACUGAGACACGGCCCAGACUCCUACGGGAGGCAGCAGUAGGGAAUCUUCCGCAAUGGACGAAAGUCUGACGGAGCAACGCCGCGUGAGUGAUGAAGGUUUUCGGAUCGUAAAGCUCUGUUGUUAGGGAAGAACAAGUGCGAGAGUAACUGCUCGCACCUUGACGGACCUAACCA